CCCUAGUAACUGCGAGGAAGCGGGAAAAGCUCAAAUUUGAAAUCUGGCGGUGUUUUUACUGUCCGAGUUGUAAGCUAGAGAAGUGCAGCCUGCGCUGAACCGUGUAUAAGUCUUCUGGAAUGGGGCAUCAUAGAGGGUGAGAAACCCGUCUUUGACACGGAGUACCAGUGCAUUGUGGUUGUGCGCUCAACGAGUCGAGUUGUUUGGGAAUGCAGCUCUAAAUGGGUGGUAAAUUCCAUYUAAAGYUAAAUAUUGGCGAGAGACCGAUAGCGAMCAAGUACCGUGAGGGAAAGAUGAAAAGAACUUUGGAAAGAGAGUUAAAAAGUAUGUGAAAUUGUUGAAAGGGAAACAUUUGAAGUCAGAGAUAUUGACUGGGGAUCAACUUGGGAAAAUAGCUGAGUGUAAUUCCUGGUUAAUGGGCCAACAUCAGUUUUUGACUGCUAGAGAAAGGCCAAGGGAAUGUGGCACCUAUGGGUGUGUUAUAGCUCUUGGUUGUAUGUAGUGGUUAGGACUGAGGAAAGCAGCGUGCCUUAUGGAGGGGUUUCGACCACAUUCACGCUUAGGAUGUUGGCAAUAAUGGCUUUAAGUGACCCGUCUUGAAACACGGACCAAGGAGUCUAACAUGCAUGCGAGUAUUUGGGUGGAAAACCCUAAUGCACAAUGAAAGUGAAAGUUGAGAACCCUACUGUGGGGGGCAUCGACGCCCGGACCAGAACUAUUGGGACGGAUCUGCGGUAGAGCAUGUAUGUUGGGACCCGAAAGAUGGUGAACUAUGCCUGAAUAGGGUGAAGCCAGAGGAAACUCUGGUGGAGGCUCGUAGCGAUUCUGACGUGCAAAUCGAUCGUCGAAUUUGGGUA
Molecule: ribosomal RNA, 857 nt
Filed under: Amanita strobiliformis
Lineage: Eukaryota; Fungi; Basidiomycota; Agaricomycetes; Agaricales; Amanitaceae
Description: eukaryotic LSU rRNA
Rfam family: Eukaryotic large subunit ribosomal RNA
Source: RNAcentral